GACGAACGCUGGCGGCGUGCUUAGCACAUGCAAGUCGAACGGAAAGGCCCUGCUUUUGUGGGGUGCUCGAGUGGCGAACGGGUGAGUAACACGUGAGUAACCUGCCCUUGACUGUGGGAUAACUUCAGGAAACUGGGGCUAAUACCGGAUAGGAGCUCCUGCUGCAUGGUGGGGGUUGGAAAGUUUCGGCGGUUGGGGAUGGACUCGCGGCUUAUCAGCUUGUUGGUGGGGUAGUGGCUUACCAAGGCUUUGACGGGUAGCCGGCCUGAGAGGGUGAACGGCCACAUUGGGACUGAGAUACGGCCCAGACUCCUAUGGGAGGCAGCAGUGGGGAAUAUUGCACAAUGGGCGGAAGCCUGAUGCAGCAACGCCGCGUGCGGGAUGAAGGCCUUCGGGUUGUAAACCGCUUUCGCCUGUGACGAAGCGUGAGUGACGGUAAUGGGUAAAGAAGCACCGGCUAACUACGUG
RNAcentral lists this ribosomal RNA (468 nucleotides) under uncultured bacterium. RNAcentral's name for it is "partial 16S ribosomal RNA". It matches the Rfam family "Bacterial small subunit ribosomal RNA", at positions 28 to 507 of the family's 1533-position model. The record is from RNAcentral.